AUGUUCUCAAUUGGUUAGGCAUAAGAAAUUAUAAAAAGCCAAGUGGGAGGUGACAUCAGCAUUCCAUCAAAGAAAUUGAUGAAAGCAAACGGGAGGGAAUUCUGCGAGAUUAAAAUAGAAGUUUGAGGGGUUCUAAAUGACAAAUUCAAGUACGUUAAUGUUUAAUAGUAUAAAUUCAGCAAUAGUAAGUGAAAUUUAAACCCAAGUAGCCAUGUAUGCAACUCUAUGAGCAAAAGUUUGCAGUUCUUUUCUGCCAAAGUCAAGAAUUACAUCAUAAUCAAUUUACAAUUGAACAAAGGCAAAGUACAGUUACUUGAGGCAAAGUAACUAAACAACCAACUAUAAAUAACUGGAAUAAUAAAACCAAUAGGAGUGAGAAUAGUAUCUAAGACUCCAUGGUUCUCCAAGCCUCAAUUCUUUGAGCACUAGACUAAGGCCUCACUGGCCACUAUUAGCACAAGUUGGUGGCACGAAGACUAACA
RNAcentral lists this unclassified non-coding RNA (482 nucleotides) under Hevea brasiliensis (rubber tree). Lineage: Eukaryota; Viridiplantae; Streptophyta; Magnoliopsida; Malpighiales; Euphorbiaceae. The record is from RNAcentral.